Molecule: ribosomal RNA, 253 nt
Filed under: uncultured bacterium
Lineage: Bacteria
Description: partial 16S ribosomal RNA
Rfam family: Bacterial small subunit ribosomal RNA
Source: RNAcentral
GACGAAGGAUGCAAGCGUUAUCCGGAUUCAUUGGGUUUAAAGGGAGCGUAGGUGGUCUACUAAGUCAGUGGUGAAAUCUCUCGGCUUAACUGAGAAAUUGCCAUUGAUACUGGAAGACUUGAGUAUAGUUGCCGUUGGCGGAAUAUGACAUGUAGUGGUGAAAUACAUAGAGAUGUCAUAGAACACCGAUUGCGAAGGCAGCUAACGAAACUAUAACUGACACUGAGGCUCGAAAGUGCGGGGAUCAAACAGG